UACGUAGGGUGCGAGCGUUAAUCGGAAUUAUUGGGCGUAAAGAGCUCGUAGGCGGUCUGUCGCGUCCGUUGUGAAAACUCGAGGCUCAACCUCGGGCUUGCAGUGGAUACGGGCAGACUAGAGUGCGGUAGGGGAGACUGGAAUUCCUGGUGUAGCGGUGGAAUGCGCAGAUAUCAGGAGGAACACCGAUGGCGAAGGCAGGUCUCUGGGCCGCAACUGACGCUGAGGAGCGAAAGCAUGGGGAGCGAACAGG
This 253-nucleotide ribosomal RNA is filed under the name uncultured bacterium. RNAcentral's name for it is "partial 16S ribosomal RNA". It matches the Rfam family "Bacterial small subunit ribosomal RNA", at positions 524 to 776 of the family's 1533-position model. The record is from RNAcentral.